RNAcentral lists this non-coding RNA (771 nucleotides) under Pan troglodytes (chimpanzee). The record is from RNAcentral. Lineage: Eukaryota; Metazoa; Chordata; Mammalia; Primates; Hominidae.
GGACACCCAUCUCCAUCGCAGCAGCCCGCGCCUCCUUGAGCGAGAGCGUUAAAGCGCUCAGAGGAUGUUAGGACGGGGUGGGUAGAAAACCUGACUCUUCGUGUCUUCUGCGUUGCACUGAGGUGGAUUUUUACUUUUGUCUUAUUUCAAGCAGAAGUUGCCGCCCUAACUUCCAAAUUUGGGGACUGAACAUCGUUCACCGAAUACACUUUGUGAUGAAAAACACAUACUUCUUGGAUUUGUGUUUCGGAAAACUGUGACAGUACCUGCUGAAGUUCACCGAUCUCAUGGCGUAAAUAAUCCUCCUUUCUGGCACCUGCUUGUUCUGUACGCUGCAAUGCAAGCCUAAGGUCCCCCACCUGUAGGAGGAGAAACAAUACAUUCACAAACAAUGUUUUAGGUGAUGAAGUACCUGCUGCCAGAGUUUCCCCUGAAACACACAAAGAAGAGUCUUUUACUUGUGAUUCAGUUGUUUCAGGAGUUCUUGACUGUCCAAUGUGCAAGGAUUCACGUAAGCUGCUUUUCACUUCUUCUUCUGGUCGUUGUGAUUUUGCUGGAGGUUUUGAUACCACUGGACUCUUCUGAAUGGUCUGGACAUCAGUUGGCGAGAGAAAGGCACUGAAGAAAUUUUCAGAUUCAUCGACCACAGUCCUCCGAACUGGCUUUGUGAUUGCUUUAGGAGAGGCUAUUGGUGGACUCUGAGGUUCAGUGUUUGAUUUCAACCCCCAGGUUGAAGUAUCCCAUCCGCCACUGACAGGGGAACUUAUUCCU